GCCCUGAGCAGUGGUUGCUGGAGCGCGCUGCUCCGCGGAGGUUUCUGGCGGUCGGUCGCUGCCGACUUCCGAGUCCCACUUUCAGGGAUGACAAACUCGGGGUGACACUGGUCUGGCGGGCACACCUAGCCUUCGGCGUAUGUGAGAUGCCGACGAGGAAGAGGGCAGCUCCGGGUUAGUGCGGGCUGGAGCUCCUUGGAUUUCCUGUGGCGUCUCAAAUCCAACGCAGCUGUGGUCAGACCGAGGUCCCUGGGAUUCGAGCCGGCAGGGAUGGUGUGACCGGGCCCUGCUCUAGACCAGAAAGUCCAGUGCGUCCCAGCCUUCUCGAGCGGGGGCUCUGAGGCAGAGGUCUUGGCCCCCAGUCGGGCGGAGCUCUUAAAGGCACACCUGCUGUACCCAUCCAGCCUGGCUUUCUGGGCCGCCUUCACAGCCAAACUGAUGGUUGGGCCCAGUUUGAAUCUGUUUUAGAUGAAAAAUUCACUACAGACAUGAGAUACUAGGAAGGGAUCAAACCUCAUGUCAGUGGCAGAGGAAGAAUUAGAAGCUAUAUUUCCUUUGAGGCCUGAAGAUCCAGUUCUGUCUAGCUUUUUCUGCUACUCACAAACUUUGGGCAAAGUCCCUACGCUUCUCUGAGCCUCAUAGUGGGGAUAAUACUCUUCCCACUUACCUCAGUCAGUUAAUGUAGAGGUCAAAGUCAUACAUACUUUCUCAGUCUUUUUUUUUUUUUUUUUUUUUUUUUACUGCUUAAACCAAAAUCUGGACCUUGAUGUGUUGCAGAACCACUUGGGCAUUUAUGAAGCACCCUGUCAGAGUAUUAUUAGAAAUGCUUCUCUCAGCAUCCUGAAAUAGCCUGCUUCCCAAGCUGCCUUAUUCUUAGAAGAAUCUUCCUCUCACCUUCACUAUAUUGUAACCCAGGGAUCCUGAAAUGGGAUGGAAGAAGGGUAUCUCACCUGGACUGGUGGCGUCCUUGAACCCUCCUGAACCUCUUGGAAAACUUGAAAGAAGCCUUUUUUAAAAAACUGUCUGGAGACAAAUGGAUUAAUCAGUUCACAGAUGAUCGUUAUGUUUGGUUGGGAGAGGAAGUCGGGUGACAAAAUCUUAGGCGAAGACCUGAGGACACCAAUCAGAGUGAAUCAUACAAAUUUUUAGACUGCUACCUGUCACGGGAGACAUUGCACAAAACAGAGAAAAGAGCACGGAAUUUGUAUCUAGAGAAUCCUGAGUUCAAAUCCUAGAUCUUUCUUUAUGCACAAGACAAAGACAAUGAGCCAGGAAGAAAUUCUGACUGUUGGGGCUAAGUUCUUGCUUUAAAUUCAGGCUGCUUGAAGAAAGUCUGGAACCUCACAGGUGGCUGGGUCCUUAUGGAACUCCAGGAAAACUCCAAACCCAGGCCAUUUCCAGGGCAGCCUCUCUCCUCCCUCUGCCUUUAAAGAGCCCAUCACUGCCUCUCUCUCCUGGGCUUCUCUAGGCUUGGAACCAGCACCAGUCUCUGUUCCUUCAGACCCCAGAUCAAGCUCUCCAAACUGGAAUCCUGAAGCCUCCCACAGGAUUGUGUCACUAUCAGCUUCACUCCUAGAACCGCUUCUGCUGCAUCCCAUAGAUUUUGGAUUAUCGUGCUUCCAUUUUCAUUCGCCUCCAGCUCCAAAUAACCCCGUGAUUUUGGAUGAUUGAUUAUGGGAAUGCUGCUUUUACUGUACAUCCAAGAGUCUCACAGACACAGCUCCCUCGGCCUCAGUGGACAUCUGUGGGAGCCUGGUUUCCAUGGUGUCAGGAUAUGGAGGUCCAGGGAAUGAAGAGCCUCGGAGGAUGACGCCUGGAUUGUCGAGCUCUGGCCAGCCGCACAAUUUGGCCAACCUUGCCAUCAAAAGCAAGAUGAAGAGCUCGCUUGUUUUCUCCUUCACUGAGCUCCAGAGAUUUGAAGAUAUCAAUUGAUCCUGUCAGUUGCACCUGAAUAUUCUCUUUGUGGUUAGUGGAAGCCAUCCCAUUCUAAAGGAAAAACUGUAGCAUCGGAUAAUUGAACAGCUCGCCACUCCUCCAGCUCUAGUCGGAAGCCCAAGUUUAAAGUUGGGUGUAAAAAGCAUUAGGGAUAAUCUCAAGGCAACGGGUUGCACGGGAGCUCCCAGGGCAGAGGUGGGCUGCCUACCAGACAAGGAUGUAAUAAAGGAGAAUCUGCAAUGGAUGCGAAAUCUGUACGAAGGAACGCCUUCUGACACUUGGACUGCCAAUAUCUGGUGGGCCGCGCAGUGUGGAAAGAGCUUCUAAGACACACACUGACUCGGCUGGUCCUCCGCACAGUCCAGUGCUGGGCCUGGGGGAGGGAGUCCAUGAUGGCCUGCACCUUCCAGAUGACACCGAGGCUCCAGAGGGUCUACUGUGACAGAUCUGGGGUCACAAAGGGUCAUUGGGGGCCCCCCGUACCACUAGACCAUCAGGCGAAGAAGGAGUUGCGGCACCCACAGUUGUAAUGAACUCUGGUCGUAAGGAGAAAGGGCUGCUGUUUCACAGAGAAGAAGCAGGGUACGUGUGGCCCCAGGUCAUCCACUAGCCUCUUCUGCUGUGCCCAGCCCUGACGAGAUGCAUAAGCUUAAAGGCAUGGUGACCCUGGACUCAGACCCCUAGAGGUGGGUUAAUGCAUGAGGCAAGCCACCUAGAUGGGUGAUGCUAGCCAAGAGAGGGGAGGAGAGCGAUCCUGGAGCAUGGGGGACGCAGGAGAUGAUGAGUCUCGGUCACUUUGGGGACCAGUGGCGGUGUGAGAGCUGGAGGGAGUCCCGCUAAACCUCUCUAGGAUGUUUCCUCAGGAGCUGUGAUCAAGCAGAGUCUUGGAGGAGCUGUGCCUGGGGGAACUGACCUUAAUGUGAGAAGCCUGGGUACCUGAGCAGGAAGGAGUGUUAAAGUUAUAGAUGCCGUUCGAGACUCCAGGAUCCUCUUUCCUGGGCCUGUGCGCCCGUUUCUCAUGGCUUCUCCCUUCGCUACAGAAUUAAGUUCUAAGGAUUGGAAGCCACAUCAUUGAGGGUGUUAGGCAUCUCAUCCUGCCCUCUCCCCCGACCCCAACCACUCUCCCCGACUCCUCAUACCUCAGCCAAUGAUCCCCUGACACAGAAUUACAAAAGCAUCACGCUCUGUUGUCAAGGUGGGACGUUGUUAAGGUGGGAUUCACACUCCAGAGCUCACGUGGGGUCAGGCUGAAGGUGGGCCCCAGCGGAGAUGACAGCCUUACUUAGCUCCUCUCUUGUCAAAUCCUGUUCACCUCAUUCUUUUUCUCCUAGGUGCACCCUCAUCCCCAUUUCUGUUCCUAGGCACCAGCCUUUAAGUCAACCCCAUCCUCUCCAGGCCGGGCAUCCUGCAAGGCCCUUUAUGUGAAUUAUCUCGCACGAUCUCUGGUUAAACCUGUGAGAUAACAUCCUCAUGUACCUUUAUUAUUAAGCUGAAGAAACCAAGGCUCAGAGUAGUUAAGUAAGUUGGUGAAAGUUGCACAGCUCAUACUCAAGUCUGAGUCUACCUCCAAUGCCCCUGGCUCUCACCCUUAUUCAUUCCCGCAGAAGAAAUAGAAAUAGUAUGGCUUAAUAUCAGAGGAAUAGUGGUAAACCCUGUCACUGAGGACAUGGCCUGGGUAAGGAGAGUUAAAGAAGAGAAGGUGCUGGAGAGGCCCCAGGGAGGCAAGACUAAGAUGUGUGAACCCCCGAUAUGCCAUCAAUCAAGAGAACACCUCAGUUAGGUAACCUCCUAGUCCCUGACAGUGCCCACACCAUGGCUGAGGGUAAACAUCAGAGACGGAGCACGGAAAAGUCCUGCAGCUGGAGGCAAGUAAAACAGAAGGACCCUUGAGUUUCCAUCCAACCCAGUACCUUGACGAUCAUGAGGAGGAUUCCAGGGCUCCUUGUAAAUUGCUUAAUCCCAUAAGGACCCGUCUGACAGCCUCGAGUCUGAGUCACUGCAGGACCACUGGUCCAAACCUGGGCCAACAUUUACAAUGAAAGGCCCUGCGUGCUCUGUCUCCGAUGGGGAUCCCAGAGGACAGAGAGAGAGGGAUCCGGCUUCCCUUCAAGAGCAACGCAUGUAAGUGUCGAGUUUUCUUCCAUUGGAACAUGGAAGGAGUCCUUCCUCAUUCAGGGAGGGGUUCAGCAGAGGAAGCGCUAAUAACGAUGGUGCCGGCGACAGUAACAAUUCUUACUACGUGCCAGAUACUGCUCCAAGCAGUUUGCAUGACAAACUCAUUUGAUUUUAUAACUAUCGGGAGGGUGCAGUGCCUUGGAGGCAGCCUCACCCAGGCCUGGCUCCUUCCUGCUGAUUCUGGAACCUUGUGAUUCAGCCCGAACUGCCAAAGCAGAGACCCUGAGCAAGACCCACAGCCGCUGGAACAUCAGGAGAGAGCUCUGACCCACACCUUAUGAUUCCUCUGAAGAGAUUCUUGGGUAGUAGAAGAGAGGCCAGGUCAUGGAAUAAACAUUGGCUCAUAACCCAGUUUGCACGGAGGGCUAUUCAGUGCCCAGUCAUCCCCAAGAGAACCACACAUGAGAAUUCACCAGCACGGAAAUAUUUAAGACAUAUUUGAGAAGGCACCCAAAUGGUGAAUCCAUCUGCAGGCAUUCUUUCUCCCUUUGAAGAAAUCCACAAAAGAAAGAGCAAAAUGCUGACAAGUUUUCAAAGCCGUGAUUUACAGGAAUGAUUUCCGAAAAGCAAGCGGACAUGCGAGUUCAUCAUCAAAUAAUAUUUCUAAAGCACCCUCUAGUGCCUGGCCCCAAGCCAGAUGAUUCAAUGCCUGGAGAGGCUGCAAACUGUUUUUAAAGGAAAAUGGACUCUCAUGUUGGCUCCUGAGAAAAAAGUCUGCACCAUUUAGGAUUCCUUAGGACUCUCUCUCUAAAUAAGUAUUAAGAAUGGAUUGCUUUAGAAAAAAGAAUCAGUGCAAUUAGAAACCAUAAAACUAUUAAAUAUAACUCAAAUCCCAGUUUGAAAUAGAUAUUAAGACUUAAAAGAACAAGUCAAAAAUUACACCUGGAAUCUGAAGAAUCUGAAAUUUAAGCGAAUCACAGGGCAGGAAAAUCUGCUCUGUAAGUGAAAAAGUUCUGAGCAUGAGAAAAGGUAAAAAUUGCAUGAAUACAUAGGUGUCAUGUAGUAGGAAUGCUAGACCCACCUGUCAUCUGAUUAUGCUGUGACGGUACCAGCGGACAGUGUUCACCCAGCAGAUUCUCCAGUGGUGUAGUGGAACGACUACUGCAGUAUGUAGAACCAGAAGACUCAUGGUCUAGGGUCAACUCUACUACAUACUUAGCUAUGUGAUUUGGAACCUGUCACUUAAAAUUAAUGACCCUAAUUUCUUCACUUGUAAAAUAAUGAUAAUUCUGUCAACUUUGUGGAAUGGUUUAGACUUUAGAGAUUAAAUAAGAUACAAUGGACCAGUUCCUUGAACACAGUACUUGCCCACAAACUGUCAAAGCUUUUUCUACUUGUCUGAUCGACUUGGCAUUCAGCAGUUUUAUGAUAUGUGUUCAGUAUGACUCUUGCACAUGUCUCCUCAAAGGAAGUUUCACUCUCCUCCCUCGUCAUUCCCAUGUCUCUGAAAACAGGAUCACAUUUUAUAUUCUCAUAUUGAAGUAGCAGAGUCAGUUCCUGCAUAGGCUAGUUGACUUUAAAGAUAAAUGCCUAAUUAUUGAUUGAAUGAUUGAUUGAUCAAUUCAUUCAUUCAUUUCACUCUCAACUUGUAAAUAUAGACUGGCCCCUUCACUAACUGGGGCCUUAUUAACAAGAUGGAUUAGACGCUUACAUCAUAUGCAAAAGAUCUUUGUAGGCACGGGAAUAAAGAAUACUGAGUCAUUUUAAGAAGUCACUUUGAAAAUGACUUUUGAACAUAGAAGAACUGGGCUUGUUCAAGCAAAUUAUAUUUCAAAGUUUUAUUUGUAAGGUUAUUUAUUACUGUGUGGAAUCUCACUCCUGUGGCUAGGGUCAAGGAAAAUGGGGACACAGGUGUCUGCCUAUUUGCACAGGCAUUAAAGAGUGUUGUAAAAUGAGCUUCAGCCUUUUAAGUUACUGUCUUUUCCUUUAUAAUAAUAAUCUCUUCAAUUUUACAAGGUCUAUAUUAUUUUUAGGUAAGAAAACACUGUAGAGUUCAUGUUUUAUUGUUCCUUGCAGUUAUAUAAAUUAUGUUUGGCCAAAACAAAUGUAAUUCCUACUGUGUGAACUGGGAACCCGAAAUGUUGAUUUUCCUCAAGUUAUAAACAAUGUGAAGAUAUGUUAUACUGGGUCACAAUUUUCCAGAGCAGAGCAAAAUAUAUAACUCAGUUUUAAUAACAAAACUGCAUAUAUCAUUAAAGUUUCCUACUCCACACAGAAUGUAUUAUAUUACUCUGCCCAGCAAGAGACAUCCUUUGUGUAGACCACAAUUUCUAAAAUACCAUUUGAUUGAAUGGAAAACAUUUUAGCCAUUUGUUAGUUUAAAAAAAAUGUAAUGGUUAAAUGCUCAUGGAAAUUCUGCUUUGUCUUUGCUGGGUAAAUAUUACAUUUCUUCUCACUAAAUUUGAAUGCCAUGGAUUUUGUAAACAACAAGGUCUAGGGGACAACUAUUAUGAGCCUUUCCCCACUAUUAGAUGAAUCUUCACAUUUUUAGCAUCUUAGAAGCAGAUGUCUGCUUCUUGGUCACACCAAUGAACCUUAUUUAUACAUGUAUUACAUCAACUUGAAGCUGCAUUGUAAUUAUUUACUUAUAAGCUUGCCUGUCCAAAUUGACUUGUAACUCAACAGGCCAGGGUCCUGACUGCAUUAUUCUCUAUUCUUGGCUCCUGGUCCAAUGCCUUCUACAGAGUUGGGGCACUAAAAAUGUUAAAUGAAGUAGAAAUGCUGGAAAAACUACCACCAAAUCAUCAAUUUACCCACCCACCUCUUCUUCUCAGAAAAAUUCCAAAAUUGGGGAGAUUUAUAAGUGCAACUACUUUUACAACACUGAAGAAAAUGAGGAAAGAUUAUUUCCUUCAUUUAAAAAGAGCCACAGAUGGGAUUAGCUAGUAUAGCCUUCUUAUUUCACAAAUGGGGAUUUGGGGGCCUGGAAAAAGAAAGCUUUUUUUGCUCUUGUUAAUGUCACAAAACCAGAGGCCAAACUGAGCCUAAUUGUGUUCAUAGUGUUUUGUUUGCUUGAUACAAAAAUAAUACAUGUUAAUUCUAAACAUUUUGCAAGUUCAAAAAUAUAUAAAAGAGCCAACAAUUCUAUGAAAAGAUAUUCCACAUCAGAACUUGUAAGAGAAAUGCAAGUCAAAACCACAAUGAACUACCACCUCACAUCCAUCAGGAUGGCUAAUAAAAAAAGAAAUGAAAAUAACAAGUGUUGGCAAAGAUGUGGGCAAAUUGGAACCUAUGUGCGUUGUUGGUGGGAUGAAAAUACUAUGGCAAACAGUAUGCUGGUUCCUUAAAAAAUUAAAAAUAGAACUACCGUAUGAUCCAUCAAUCCCACUUCUGGGUAUAUAUUCAGAAGAAUUGAAAGCAGAGUCUUGAAGAGAUAUUUGAACAGCCAUGUUCAUGGAAGCAUUAUUCAAUUCACGGUGUCAGUAAGUGGAAGCAGCCCAGAAGUCCAUCGAAAGAAGGACAAAUAAAACAUCAUAUAUACACACAAUGGAACCAUAUGCAACCUUAAAGGAAAGAAAUUCUGUCACAUGUUACAACACGGAUCAACCUUGAGGACACUAUGUAAGUUAAAUGUAGUCACAAAGAGACAAAUACUGUAUGAUUCCACUUAUAUGAGGUAUCUAAAAUAGUCAAAUUCAUCAAACAAAGUGGAAUACUGGCUUCCAGAGGCUGGGGGGAGAGGGAAAUGAGGAGAUGUUGUUAAAUGGGUAGAGUUUCGGUUUUGCAAAAUGAGCUGGUUCUGGUGAUCUGUUGCACAACAAUGUGAAUGUACUUAACACUACUGAACUGUACACUUAAAUAUGCUUAAGAUGGUAAAUUUGACGUUAUAUGUCUUUUGUCACAAUUAAAAAUUAAAAAUACCUAAACGAACAGAAUUUCUAAAUACACACGGCAGCAUAAGAGAUGUUAAGGUUAACACAUUUAGUUGUCUUAUCCUGUAGUAUUUAUAUAUUUGAAAUAGCAUUGUCUAAACGAUAUGGCACCUUUUCAUUUUUGUUAUAAUGUAAGUAUUUUGUUAUAAUGGGAGUAUUUCUAAAACUCUCUAAAUACUAUUUGAAAGGCUGAAUAAUAUCCCUUUAUAUGAAUAAACCACAAUUUACUUAAUAAUAGCCCCCAUUCAUAUUCUUCUCAUGUCUAUAAAUAAUGCUUUAUUUUCUAUUUUUGUACAUUCUUUGUUGUCUACAUGUCUGAUUCUUCCCUUUGAAUAGAGUCUCAGAACUAAAAUUAGUAGAAUGGACAUUUAAAAAUAUUUGCUACAUGUUGUUUAGUGUUGCUCCAAUAUCUUCAUAGAAACAGAACAUGCGUGCCUCUAGUUUAUCAUUCCCUCAUCUGCACAGAGUCUUCUCAUUUUUGCCUCUUACUCAUUAUUAUGAUUGUUAUUAUUAUUAUUUUGAUAUGAAAGGAAGGAUCUAGGAUUAUUUGUUAACCUACAUUUCCUUGCUUGUUAGUAAAACUGACACAAUUAAAAAUACUUUUCAGUCA
Molecule: long non-coding RNA, 8592 nt
Organism: Camelus dromedarius (Arabian camel)
Lineage: Eukaryota; Metazoa; Chordata; Mammalia; Artiodactyla; Camelidae
Exons: 14
Source: RefSeq, a predicted model, not a curated record